RNAcentral lists this ribosomal RNA (400 nucleotides) under uncultured bacterium. RNAcentral's name for it is "bacterial SSU rRNA". It matches the Rfam family "Bacterial small subunit ribosomal RNA", at positions 30 to 433 of the family's 1533-position model. The record is from RNAcentral.
UUGAACGCUGGCGGCAUGCUUUACACAUGCAAGUCGAACGGCAGCGCGGGGCAACCUGGCGGCGAGUGGCGAACGGGUGAGUAAUAUAUCGGAACGUACCCAGAAGUGGGGGAUAACGUAGCGAAAGUUACGCUAAUACCGCAUACGAUCUACGGAUGAAAGUGGGGGACCUUCGGGCCUCAUGCUUUUGGAGCGGCCGAUAUCUGAUUAGCUAGUUGGUAGGGUAAAGGCCUACCAAGGCAACGAUCAGUAGCUGGUCUGAGAGGACGACCAGCCACACUGGAACUGAGACACGGUCCAGACGCCUACGGGAGGCAGCAGGGGGGAAUUUUGGACAAUGGGCGCAAGCCUGAUCCAGCAAUGCCGCGUGAGUGAAGAAGGCCGUCGGGUUGUAAAGCUC